UCCGAGGUGGCUCAGAUGGUAAAGUGUCUGCCUGCUAUGCUGGAGACCUGGGUUCGAUCCCUGGGUUAGGAA
Molecule: transfer RNA, 72 nt
Filed under: Bos taurus (domestic cattle)
Lineage: Eukaryota; Metazoa; Chordata; Mammalia; Artiodactyla; Bovidae
Also listed under: 5 other names
Rfam family: tRNA
About the family: Transfer RNA (tRNA) molecules are approximately 80 nucleotides in length. Their secondary structure includes four short double-helical elements and three loops (D, anti-codon, and T loops).
Source: Rfam by way of RNAcentral